This 593-nucleotide ribosomal RNA is filed under the name Talaromyces ruber. RNAcentral describes it as "eukaryotic LSU rRNA". It matches the Rfam family "Eukaryotic large subunit ribosomal RNA", at positions 40 to 648 of the family's 3401-position model. Lineage: Eukaryota; Fungi; Ascomycota; Eurotiomycetes; Eurotiales; Trichocomaceae. The record is from RNAcentral.
AUAUCAAUAAGCGGAGGAAAAGAAACCAACCGGGAUUGCCUCAGUAACGGCGAGUGAAGCGGCAAGAGCUCAAAUUUGAAAUCUGGCCCCCUCGGGGUCCGAGUUGUAAUUUGCAGAGGAUGCUUCGGGUGCGGUCCCCAUCUAAGUGCCCUGGAACGGGCCGUCAUAGAGGGUGAGAAUCCCGUCUGGGAUGGGCGGCCGCGCCCGUGUGAAGCUCCUUCGACGAGUCGAGUUGUUUGGGAAUGCAGCUCUAAGCGGGUGGUAAAUUUCAUCUAAAGCUAAAUACUGGCCGGAGACCGAUAGCGCACAAGUAGAGUGAUCGAAAGAUGAAAAGCACUUUGAAAAGAGAGUUAAACAGCACGUGAAAUUGUUGAAAGGGAAGCGUUGUCCACCAGACUCGCCCGGGGGGGUUCAGCCGGCACGUGUGCCGGUGUACUCCUCUCCGGGCGGGCCAGCAUCGGUUUGGGCGGCUGGUGAAAGGCCCCGGGAAUGUACCACCCUCCGGGGUGUCUUAUAGCCCGGGGUGCCAUACAGCCAGCCUGGACCGAGGCCCGCGCUUCGGCGAGGAUGCUGGCGUAAUGGUGGUCAACGGC